UGAACAUGAAGGAGUCUUCAUGAAUGUUUACAACUGUUGUCAUGAAGUGUCAUUCGGUACAUAAUGACGCUUUUAUUGCAAAGUUGCCCUAAAAGUCCAUUAAAAGUCUCAACUUUGAAUUAAAAUGUCAUUAUUUACCGUAUGAAAACAGUCAUAGUCAUUCAGGAAGACUCCUUCAGGUUCAUAACCAGUGUUAUGUCAUGUUUAUGACGGUAUUAUGUCAGUCUUAUGCACACACCUUCAAAUAAAAUGUUACCAUGAAAGGCCAGAAAACAUGCAGCAGUAACCAGAAUUUUGUGUGACUGUAUGGAGCGAAGUAGUAAAGUCUCACUGUGGAUUCUGAAGGCAGCUACACUUUGACAACUAAAAAUAUUGGUUGUUUAAAGUAACUCUUGUCAAACUGAAUGGACAGUGUUUGACACUACAGAAUUAGAUUCACUGUUUUAGACCCGGAUCCGGUUCUUCUCCGUCGCAUCUUCCAGCUCUUCCAGUAAAAUGUUUGAGCUUCCUGUCUUUGUUAUUUUUGCAGCUGAUUGCAGGGCAGACAGUUAAUUUAAUCAGUGCAAAUUGCAGUUUGCCUUGGGUUUCUGCAAAUGGGUUUAAUCUUACAGUUCUAAUCAGCUAAGUGAGUCUUUAUGAACCGUCUUUGCAUGAUCGUGAAUUUAUAGCAGAAUAUAAAAAGGAAAUAGCGGAGAGGAUUCACAAAAUGACCGUUUUUAAAUCACUCUGUACCAGCAGAGAGUUGUGGAUCCUCCAGCACUUUAGUCAGGUCUUCAGCAUUUAAAAUAAAUAAUCUGGUGUUGAUUUAGAUUCAAACCGCAGCAGCAGCAGCAGCACAGAGGAUCCUCACAUUCAGUCAGACAUACCUGACAAAAACCAUGAAAAGUUAAACAAAGAGAAGAAAACAGCAGAAAAUGUGAAGAUGUACCCAGAGGCUACAGCUCCUGAUUAUUAAAGCAAUCCCUCAUCUCUCCAAAAAUUUGAGCAAAAAUCGUUAAUGUUUAGCUGCUGUGUUCAACAGAGUUUAACCAAAUAAACACAGUUUAAGCCGACGAUAAUUAUGUUAAUUUCUUGCAUUAUUUUGUAAAACAAAGUGUGGAAUAACUCAAUCUCUUCUGCCGAAUCCCAGCAGAGAGGCUUGUUGUGGAGGAACUCUCAGAAGUUCUAAUGAGCUGCAUUAAACAUGCAGAGAAACUCGUUCUUCUGUAGAUUGUUUUCUCAAAAAUACAUUUUCAUUCUUAUUCUCAUGCUGAGAUCUUCAGAUGUUCUGUUUGGACCCAACAGGAGCCUAAAAGCAACAGAUAUCCCUAAGGCUGACAGGCUACUUUUGUCAAAAGCCAUUUGAACACAAGCAGUCGUGGCACCGAGCCGCUGAAAGCUGGUUCUACUGUCUGUGGGUAUAAGCGAUGCGUGAACGUUUAUUUCUAGGAUUUAAGAAAAUACGCUAAUCAAAAAAAAAAUCAGUCUUCACUUGUAGGUGAACUCCACAGCAAGCAAAGAAUAAAUAAAAGUAAAUUUAAAAAACAAUGUAUGUCACCAUUUUUUUUUCUUCUUCUGCCCUAUUCCACUUCGCGCCGUGACCCAGUUCGUUUCUCUGUUGCGUCCACAAGGCGGCCACGCAGCGCUGCGGGGCCCGCACCGCUCCACAAACACAAACUCAUCCCGCUUUGUUUGCGCCUCUUCCUGCUUCCCAUCUGCAUAAACAACACCGGCUGGCUUUCAUCCAGAGGAUGGAGAGACGCAGCGACUGGCUCAGCUUCAUUUUCAUUCAAAGCUCAUCAUUCUUCCCACCUUGAAGCCCAUCUUGCCCUUCUUGCAGCAGAGGCAGGCCAGCAUGAGGAAGACGAAGGUGAAGAGACCCGAGAAGGAGAUGGCCACCACGGUCAGAGAGGACGACCAAGAGAGCUCGCUCAGUGGAGCGCCAUCUGCAGGACACAGAGAGCAAAGCACAAUGUCAGCUGCUGAACUCAACGCUGCGUGAUCAUCUGAUAAGGUCCGUGUUGGAGCAUGUUGUAAUUUAUAUCAGCAGCAAGACCAAAAGCAUAAAAAGCGAAGGGUUUCUGUUGCCUUUUGAUGAAUGUUCUGCUGCAGAGACGUUUGCAUGUUUGAUUUAAAACCUAGAAUCAUGCUUUUGUGUUGGGAAUGAAAUACUCUGGGACAAUAUAGUCCUGCAGAUUUUACUCACAGAACAAUAAAGUCGAAUAAACGCACAACGCAGGCGGCACAUUUUCUCCUCCACCUCGCUUUUUCAUUAAAGUUUUAUUUAGGGGGCCCAGAAGUGAUUUUCUAAUAAAUACAUUUCUCUAAAUUUCA
Xiphophorus hellerii (green swordtail) is the source of this 2313-nucleotide long non-coding RNA. RefSeq lists it as uncharacterized. Lineage: Eukaryota; Metazoa; Chordata; Actinopteri; Cyprinodontiformes; Poeciliidae. The transcript has 2 exons. The record is from RefSeq and is a predicted model, not a curated record.